RNAcentral lists this long non-coding RNA (780 nucleotides) under Panax ginseng (ginseng). Its description in RNAcentral is "long non-coding RNA (PGIN_LNC010087)". Lineage: Eukaryota; Viridiplantae; Streptophyta; Magnoliopsida; Apiales; Araliaceae. The record is from RNAcentral.
UCCUCCCAUAUUUAACCACCGGAACUCCAAUGGCAUUCGACAUAGUUCCAGCAGGAGGAGGAAGGGCAUUCCACAUCGCGCUCCCUUUUGAUAAUGUCAAGCUCAACAAUCGACAAAUCUCUCUCCAUAUCGUCACAAACUAGUGUACUGAACAAGAAAAAAAAAAAAAGGUAUAGAAACAAAGACAAAAGUUGGAUGCUAUAUGUCAAGUUAGAAAUAUUAAAUGAUAUUACCAAAGACAACAAUGAAGAAACAAAAAAAGGAAUAAAUGGGUAGCAAAUGGAGAAAGGAGAAUUAUGUAUAGUUGGUAGUGUCUUGUGUAAAUAUAAUACAGUAGUUUCAGCUAGCCGUUCUCGGAAAGAUAGGGAGGGGGAUCUUUCUCUAUGUUCUUUUGAUCUUAAAGAAGAUAUUAUGAUAUGGUGGAAUAUGUUGUGAUGAUGGUAUAUACAUGUAUAUAAUUGUACAGGUGGUGUUUUAUACAUAUAAUAAAAGUGGUUGUAUACAUUAUAUAUACUACUUGAUUUAUUCAGUUUGUUGGCAGCAAUAUUCAAACCAGCUGAUAAGCACAAGCAAAAUUGGGGCAAAUAUGUGUACAUUUUGAAAGGCUUAGUUGAUUCGAGUAUGGUGCUCUGCUAACCUGGUAUUGAAUUUAGAGUUCCUUUUGAAGAAUAGACUCCCCUUCUGAAUCCAAGCUUACCGUGUAGUUCCAAUUUUCCCCACGGGUUAUACGCCAUCUAUUCAUGCUUGGAAUCGGGCUGUACACUUUCAAGCAACCUCGGU